RNAcentral lists this ribosomal RNA (397 nucleotides) under uncultured bacterium. Its description in RNAcentral is "bacterial SSU rRNA". It matches the Rfam family "Bacterial small subunit ribosomal RNA", at positions 29 to 426 of the family's 1533-position model. The record is from RNAcentral.
AUUGAACGCUGGCGGCAUGCUUUACACAUGCAAGUCGAACGGCAGCGCGGGGGCGAACCCUGGCGGGCGAGUGGCGAACGGGUGAGUAAUGCAUCGGAACGUAUCCUGUAAUGGGGGAGUAACGUAGCGAAAGUUACGCUAAUACCGCAUACGCUCGAGAGAGGAAAGUGGGGAGUCGCAAGACCUCACGUUAUAGGAGCGGCCGAUGCCCGAUUAGCUAGUUGGUGGGGUAAAGGCCUACCAAGGCGACGAUCGGUAGCUGGUCUGAGAGGAUGAUCAGCCACACUGGGACUGAGACACGGCCCAGACUCCUACGGGAGGCAGCAGUGGGGAAUUUUGGACAAUGGGCGAAAGCCUGAUCCAGCCAUGCCGCGUGCGGGAAGAAGGCCUCGGUUGU